Molecule: long non-coding RNA, 585 nt
Filed under: Numida meleagris (helmeted guineafowl)
Lineage: Eukaryota; Metazoa; Chordata; Aves; Galliformes; Numididae
Description: lncRNA (ENSNMEG00000010989.1)
Source: RNAcentral
AUGAGCCUACUGAUCUCUGCAGAGUCUCCACAGGGUUCCUCCCGCAUGGUGUCCUGGUGGGAUGGGUCUGGAGCUGAAGCAGAGGAGCAGCACCACAGGUGGGCACUGGGGGAUCUUGCAUCUCCACAGAAGUCCAAAGUGGGCCAUGGAGUAGUCAGUGCACAAGCCCAGGUGAUGUGGGCUGCAGGGUCCUGGGCUGCAGAGCGUGCUGGGUUGCUGUGCCCCAGGAGGCCAGAAGGAUGCGGGGGGGGGGGGGGGGAAACUAAUGUGCAUUUCCAGGGCCCCUGCCAUGGGAGGAUUAGUGUAAAACCCACAGAUUUCUCAAUAUUUUCCUGACCCAAAGUGCUGAGUUUGUUUUGCUGUGAUUUAUGGGAUCCUGUUACUCGCUCUCUGUGAGUAGCAAGACGAUCAUUGGGGAUUUAUUAAGAAACUUUCACAAGUCCCAGAACUCUGUCAAGUUUUUGCAUGAGUAAUAAUUUGCCUAAAAACUGGGAGGAGAAGGUGACACGCUUGCUCCGUGCUGGUGGAAGGACACGUGCCCUGGCCACCAACCCCUGCACUGAGCCGAAGCCAACGCUCUGCAAC